Vitis riparia (riverbank grape) is the source of this 575-nucleotide long non-coding RNA. RefSeq lists it as uncharacterized. Lineage: Eukaryota; Viridiplantae; Streptophyta; Magnoliopsida; Vitales; Vitaceae. The record is from RefSeq and is a predicted model, not a curated record. The transcript is spliced from 3 exons.
AUAAAGAAUGGAAGUUUCUUGUCUACAUUAAGGAAAGAAAGAAUGAAAGGAAGAUGUAGGUGAAAUCCAAAAGUUUCAAAAAUCAAGCAACAGAUUUGCAUGUCACUGGAAAAUAAAUGUCAUCAAAGUAUAGGGGUGCUCAAUGCAUUGCUGCAUACAAUUGAAAGAGACCAAUCUUACCUUCCUCAAGGUCCAUGAUGCCGGUCAAAUGGUCCCCAUGGAUCAGCCCUGAGCUGCACUAGAGAUAACUAAAGAGGUGGAUUAAAGACAAACUUCCUCAAAAACCCAUGCAUGGCUGAAUCAAAAGAGCCAGAAAAAUGGGUUGCUCAAAUGUGAUUGCCUUUGUUGUGUUGUAUCUUGUCUUAUGUUAGGCACAGUUGAAUACUUUGUCCAUGUUGAACAUUGUAUGCUGUCCUGGAAUUCUCAGUAUGCUUGUAAAUAUUUACCCACAGCCCACAACCACAAAUUCUGGACCCAACAAUUGAUGAUGUAAUAAAAAUUUCUUUUGGGAAUAAGAAUGCAUGCAGCCUGUGUAUUUUAUUCCUCUUUCUUGUUAUCUUAUUGUUUGGUGUACU